AGUGAACGCUGGCGGUAGGCCUAACACAUGCAAGUCGAACGGCAGCACAGGAGAGCUUGCUCUCUGGGUGGCGAGUGGCGGACGGGUGAGGAAUACAUCGGAAUCUACUCUGUCGUGGGGGAUAACGUAGGGAAACUUACGCUAAUACCGCAUACGACCUACGGGUGAAAGCAGGGGAUCUUCGGACCUUGCGCGAUUGAAUGAGCCGAUGUCGGAUUAGCUAGUUGGCGGGGUAAAGGCCCACCAAGGGCGACGAUCCGUAGCUGGUCUGAGAGGAUGAUCAGCCACACUGGAACUGAGACACGGUCCAGACUCCUACGGGAGGCAGCAGUGGGGAAUAUUGGACAAUGGGCGCAAGCCUGAUCCAGCCAUACCGCGUGGGUGAAGAAGGCCUUCGGGUUGUAAAGCCCUUUUGUUGGGAAAGAAAUCCAGCUGGCUAAUACCCGGUUGGGAUGACGGUACCCAAAGAAUAAGCACCGGCUAACUUCGUGCCAGCAGCCGCGGUAAUACGAAGGGUGCAAGCGUUACUCGGAAUUACUGGGCGUAAAGCGUGCGUAGGUGGUCGUUUAAGUCCGUUGUGAAAGCCCUGGGCUCAACCUGGGAACUGCAGUGGAUACUGGGCGACUAGAGUGUGGUAGAGGGUAGCGGAAUUCCUGGUGUA
This 661-nucleotide ribosomal RNA is filed under the name uncultured Pseudomonadota bacterium. RNAcentral describes it as "bacterial SSU rRNA". It matches the Rfam family "Bacterial small subunit ribosomal RNA", at positions 28 to 677 of the family's 1533-position model. Lineage: Bacteria; Pseudomonadati; Pseudomonadota. The record is from RNAcentral.